GACCCAGUGGUGAAGUGGUUUCGUAUCCACUCAAUUUUCAAUUGAAAUAUUGGGCUUUCUGUGGAAGACACCCGUUCGAUUCGGGUCUGGGUCC
Molecule: non-coding RNA, 94 nt
Organism: Mycena latifolia
Lineage: Eukaryota; Fungi; Basidiomycota; Agaricomycetes; Agaricales; Mycenaceae
Source: the annotation of a GenBank genome assembly